This 2515-nucleotide long non-coding RNA is filed under the name Mus pahari (shrew mouse). RNAcentral describes it as "lncRNA (MGP_PahariEiJ_G0004866.1)". The record is from RNAcentral. Lineage: Eukaryota; Metazoa; Chordata; Mammalia; Rodentia; Muridae.
GAUUAUCCUCGCACCCUCUAAGUCUUCCAAGGCCACCAUCUGCACUCGCUGGAAGGGGCUUAGGUUGAGGGUCGGACAGUCUUACAGGUGGAGAGACAGGCUGGGUUACACACUCACCAGCAGUCUCUAAGGCUCCUAGCUUCUGCCCGGGGGGCCGGGCGUCGACCCGGGUCGCCUCCCGAGGGCGCACACAGUCCUCGCUAGUGCGCGCAGAACCAGAGGGGCGGCGACGGUUCACCGCAGAAUCGGCUCCCGGACUGCGCGCGGCGUCUCCCGGGAGGCAGCCGCUGCGGAACUGGGCUGUCGGUCUGUCAGAGAUUGACCUAAAGCCGCGGAAGCGGGUGGCGGCUCUCCGGGACGCUCUGCGAGGCGGCGCAAGUGGCGCAGCUGCUGCUGCUACUCCGGACCGUAAAAUUCCGCCCUUGGCGACACCUGCGCCUGUCGGUCACCCAGCCAGGGCCUCAGGACGACCCGCCCCUCUGUCCCUGGACCUCUGUAGGAACCCAGAGAAUUAAUGUUAAUUAUCUUCAUUGGUCGCCCUCUCUUCCUUCUCCCUUAGUCCGCCAGGUUGGAGACAGGAAAAGGUGGCGUUUUCCGGCGUUGAGGUCUCCGCCGGCUUGGUUGACCUGGAAAAGGAGCUAGAACCCAGAGGAGUCGCACGCUCAGGGCCUGGCCCCCACCUUGGGACUCUCAGGUUGCCUGGAAAUCCUGGCACAAAGCGGAGCCCCUCCUGGAGACCUUGGCUUCCCCGAACGCUAUCGGGGUUAUCACAAGGGUGCCCCCCCUCUCCCCCCUAAUCUGAAUCGCUCUGAAACCUUAGACUGGGUGCACUUUAAGCACAAUUCCUAAACCAAGGUCGACGUUAAGAUGAAUUUAAAAAGGAAGCGGACACAACUGUUCGGGAAAGCAAAAUACUUGGGUGGAGUGUUAAAAGCCUCAAAGAAAAUAAUAGUUGGCAGGUUAAACGGCCAUGAGGUCGGAAGUCAAAUACAGAAUGGCAGAAGUGAUACCAGAAUUUUGACAAGCAAAACAGUCGGUGAAGAUAAGGGACCCGGUACAGUUUCCCUUCUGCAAAUGACCGACUGCUCCGAAGCUGCCUUUGGCAGAUACCUGGAUUCCACUCCAGGUUCCUCAGUUUUACUUGGGGUUCAUAUUUCAAAAUAUAUGUUCCAUUUGGCACUAAUGUAUAUAUUUUAUAUAUGAAUUUAUUGAAAAAUAUUAAAUGUUACUGGCCUAGUUAGAUAAAGGUAUUUUUAUAAAUAUUUAUGCACAGCUUUCAUUACAUAUGGUAUUUUAAAACGUACAAAUAUGCAUGUAUAUACAUUUAUGAAAUGCUGUAUGAAAAGUCCUUUUUUAUGCAUAAAAGCAUUCCUUACACAUAUGUCAUGUGUGUGAUUUUUUAAUGUGUUCUAUUGUUAGCUGCCAUUAAAUGCAGUCCAUUUCCACGUGUCUAAGUAAAUAAUUUCUUUUACAGUUUGUGCAAACGUAGGGUGGCAGGUGGCUAGAAGUGAAAACUUUAUCCCAGAACUGUUGUCAUUCUUAUGAGCUGUUUCUGGUUCACCUAGAGGUGGUUCCUUCUAUUGUGGUUUUAAACAAGUCUUUACCUUUGAGCCCUAAACGGCGCACGUGUAACCUACCUCUUCAAGGGUUUCUGGUGGCGCUGACUUGAUCCAUCCUGGCUUCUCUGAGGCCGUGUUAUUUUAUUUGUCCUGAACACCUUCAGCGAAGAAAAAAAAAAAGCCCUCAUGUUGCGAAUUUUCUAUCCAAAUGAGUUCAUUUCCUGAUUUAGUCAUGGCAGCAUUUUGGUUUCAUGGGUUUAGAUUGUGUUAACUUCAGGAGGCUCUCCUGCUAAGCAGAAAGGAAAACUUUGCUUUGUGACCACUGAGCCUUUCUGAGACUGUAUUUCAGAGAGGGUUAGCCUUGGGGGGAAAAAAAUCAGUGGGAAUCUUGGAAGUCUGGGACUAAUAACUAUAGCACACGGGACCCGGGGAUGAGUCCCUAUCAUCUCGUUGACUUCCCACUGAAGCCAGACUAGGCUAGUGUUGGUUCUCCUAGGAUGGAGUAGGGAGAACUGUCAUGCAGCUUCUGUUUAUGGCUGCCUUGCCAAUAAACUUGCUCUCACUUGUCUUCAUCUCACCAUAUCGGACUCCAAGCUGCCCUGCAGUUUAUUCCUGCUGAGCCCUGCCCUCUAUCUGUCCAGGACACUUCUUCCCCCAAAGCUUAAAGCCUCCUUUCUCCCUUCAUUAAGAUCUUUUUUCAAAUAAGACUUCAAGAGUGAGACUUUCCCUCCCCUAAAAUAGCAGUCCCACCCAAAUUCCCUUUCCCUGCAUAAAGCAGGAAGAAUAGUUUCUUCAUGACCUGACAUGACAUCAUAUGUAUUUAUAGAGUUGGUUAUGGCCUGUUUUCUGUGUUCCAUGGAUGGAUGGGCAUAAAGUACUUUGUAGCUUCUGUACCUAAAACAAGGCCUGGCACAUAAUAAUAAUAUCUGUUGAAUAAAAAGUCCUUAAUAGCAAUC